UGGGGAAUUUUGGACAAUGGGCGAAAGCCUGAUCCAGCAAUGCCGCGUGUGUGAAGAAGGCCUUCGGGUUGUAAAGCACUUUUGUCCGGAAAGAAAUCCUUGGCUCUAAUACAGUCGGGGGAUGACGGUACCGGAAGAAUAAGCACCGGCUAACUACGUGCCAGCAGCCGCGGUAAUACGUAGGGUGCAAGCGUUAAUCGGAAUUACUGGGCGUAAAGCGUGCGCAGGCGGUUUGCUAAGACCGAUGUGAAAUCCCCGGGCGUCAACCUGGGAACUGGCAUUGGUGACUGGCAGGCUAGAGUAUGGCAGAGGGGGGUUAGAAUUCCACGUGUAGCAGUGAAAUGCGUAGAGAUGUGGAGGAAUACCGAUGGCGAAGGCAGCCCCCUGGGGCCAAUACUGACGCUCAUGCACG
RNAcentral lists this ribosomal RNA (412 nucleotides) under uncultured bacterium. RNAcentral describes it as "partial 16S ribosomal RNA". It matches the Rfam family "Bacterial small subunit ribosomal RNA", at positions 355 to 755 of the family's 1533-position model. The record is from RNAcentral.